GAUGAAGAACGUAGCGAAAUGCGAUAAGUAGUGUGAAUUGCAGAAUUCAGUGAAUCAUCGAAUCUUUGAACGCACAUUGCGCCCCUUGGUAUUCCAUGGGGCAUGCCUGUUCGAGCGUCAUUUGUACCUUCAAGCUCUGCUUGGUGUUGGGUGUUUGUCUCGCCUCUGCGUGUAGACUCGCCUCAAAAUAAUUGGCAGCCGGCGUAUUGAUUUCGGAGCGCAGUACAUCUCGCGCUUUGCACUCAUAACGACGACGUCCAAAAGUACAUUUUUACACUCUUGACCUCGGAUCAGGUAGGGAUACCCGCUGAACUUAAGCAUAUCAAAAGCGGAGGA
This 336-nucleotide unclassified non-coding RNA is filed under the name soil metagenome. RNAcentral's name for it is "partial contains 5.8S ribosomal RNA, internal transcribed spacer 2, and large subunit ribosomal RNA". The stretch from base 1 to 120 matches the Rfam family "5.8S ribosomal RNA", at positions 35 to 154 of the family's 154-position model. The record is from RNAcentral.